RNAcentral lists this ribosomal RNA (407 nucleotides) under uncultured bacterium. RNAcentral describes it as "partial 16S ribosomal RNA". It matches the Rfam family "Bacterial small subunit ribosomal RNA", at positions 30 to 526 of the family's 1533-position model. The record is from RNAcentral.
AUUGAACGCUGGCGGCAGGCCUAACACAUGCAAGUCGAGCGGAGCGGCGGACGGGUGCGUAAUGCUUAGGACUCUGCCUGGUAGUGGGGGAUAACGUCCGGAAACGGGCGCUAAUACCGCAUACUAUCAGAUGAGCCUAGGUCGGAUUAGCUAGUGGGGGGGGUAAAGGCCUACCAAGGCGACGAUCCGUAACUGGUCUGAGAGGAUGAUCAGCCACACUGGAACUGAGACACGGUCCAGACUCCUACGGGAGGCAGCAGUGGGGAAUAUUGGACAAGGGGCGAAAGCCUGAUCCAGCCAUGCCGCGUGUGUGAAGAAGGCCUUCGGAUUGUAAAGCACUUUAAGUUGGGAGGCGUUACCAGCAGAAUAAGCACCGGCUAACUUCGUGCCAGCAGCCGCGGUAAUUC